RNAcentral lists this ribosomal RNA (464 nucleotides) under uncultured bacterium. RNAcentral's name for it is "partial 16S ribosomal RNA". It matches the Rfam family "Bacterial small subunit ribosomal RNA", at positions 339 to 795 of the family's 1533-position model. The record is from RNAcentral.
CUACGGGGGGCUGCAGUGAGGAAUUUUGCGCAAUGGGGGAAACCCUGACGCAGCAACGCCGCGUGAGCGAAGAAGGCCUUCGGGUCGUAAAGCUCUGUCAAGUGGGAAAAAAAUUCUUUGAUCAAUAGUCAAAGGACUUGAUGGUACCACUGGAGGAAGCACCGGCUAACUCCGUGCCAGCAACCGCGGUAAUACGGAGGGUGCAAGCGUUGUUCGGAAUUACUGGGCGUAAAGAGCGUGUAGGCGGUUUGGCAAGUCAGAUGUGAAAGCCCUGGGCUCAACCUGGAAAGUGCAUUUGAAACUGCUUGACUCGAGUAUGGGAGAGGAGAUUGGAAUUCCUGGUGUAGAGGUGAAAUUCGUAGAUAUCAGGAGGAACACCCGUGGCGAAGGCGAUUCUCUGGACCAAUACUGACGCUGAGACGCGAAAGCGUGGGGAGCAAACAGGAUUAGAUACCCGCGUAGUC